Molecule: ribosomal RNA, 592 nt
Filed under: uncultured eukaryote
Lineage: Eukaryota
Description: bacterial SSU rRNA
Rfam family: Eukaryotic small subunit ribosomal RNA
Source: RNAcentral
CUGGUUGAUCCUGCCAGUUGUCAUAUGCUUCUUUCAAGGACUAAGCCAUGCAAAUGUCAGUGGACUCGGGGUUUCUCGGGGGGACUGUGUACGGCUCAUUAAACGGUUAAUAGUCUACCCAACAACGGGGUGUUCUCGGACACUCCCUACGGGAUAACUGCCCUAACUGGGCAGCUAAUACCUGGAAGAACAAUCCAUGACUGCUCAACCGCCUCUCACGAGGCGGGGUUGUGGAUGCUAUUGGCCGGAACAAGAACUAACGCCUUCACGGGCAGCUGUAAUUGUUGACGCAGGCCAAUGUAGCAGAAGCGCCGUAAGGUGCGGUGUUGGACGAAUUCACCACCUAUCAGGUAGAAGGUAGUGUAGUGGACUACCUUGCCUCUGACGGGUAACGGAGGAUUGGGGUUCGAUUCCGGAGAGGGUGCCUGAGAAAUGGCAACCAUGACUACGGUCAGCAGCAGGCGCGCAAAUUGCCCAAUGCAAAUCUUGCGAGGCAGCGACGAAAAAUAGUAUUUCCUGAGGUUCUACUUCAGGAUGCAAUGGAUUGUAUCUAAUACACACUGCUGAGUAGCUAUUGGUGGGCAAGUCUGGU